Molecule: long non-coding RNA, 743 nt
Organism: Juglans regia (Persian walnut)
Lineage: Eukaryota; Viridiplantae; Streptophyta; Magnoliopsida; Fagales; Juglandaceae
Exons: 3
Source: RefSeq, a predicted model, not a curated record
GGGCACACUCUCUCAAUCCCUCGUAGCUCUCACUCUCUCCCAAUCCCUCAAAGCCAGUGCUGAAUUCAGAUCAAUUCACGUAAUGGUCUUCCCAUUUACCCUCGCAUGGAGGGUAGCUGCUCUCUCUCCAAAAUAGCGACCUCCUCUUCCUCUUUCACAGCAGCUGAACCUCACACGAGACUAGCUCAGAAAGACUGAUAUUGCCCUACCAACCAUCUCAAUCAUAGGUGUGCCACAGAGGGAAGAACCAAUCAACCAUCAACAAUAGCACGUGGGUGGGGUUCAGACUAGGACCUUGCGCCUUGACUUCCUUGUUUUCCAUGGUCAUGAGUCACUCUUGGAAGGCUCUUUUAGAUGGUGGAGGGUGAGAGAUUGACUGCCAAAUGCUGAUGAAGUGGCAGCUCAAAGGAAAGGGUGAAGGGAAGGGUGUUGCUGAGUGGUGGUCGUUUGAUGCCAUCGGUUUUGUGUAUUUUCUUGUGGGGAAACUUUUGGUCAAUUUUCCAUAAUACAUUUGAGGGUCUCUUAGGGAUUGUAUGGUGAUGGAGGUGGCAUGAGGGUAUGGGUCAUUUGAGAGUAGAAAAUCAAACAAAAAUGCAAGGCAUUUGGUUUCCAUCCAACUAGUGUUUAGGUGCAUUCGAUUUUUGGGUUUUUGGCUUGGUUGUGGGAACCAAUUUCGUCCACCACUAAGUCUGCAUUGAGAAGGGUAUUUUGAGGUGAUAAAAGACAAUAAUUCCCUUGCAAAA